This 251-nucleotide RNase P RNA is filed under the name Chloroflexota bacterium. RNAcentral's name for it is "Chloroflexi bacterium (sediment metagenome) partial RNase P RNA component class A". It matches the Rfam family "Bacterial RNase P class A", at positions 153 to 367 of the family's 367-position model. From Rfam's summary of the family: Ribonuclease P (RNase P) is a ubiquitous endoribonuclease, found in archaea, bacteria and eukarya as well as chloroplasts and mitochondria. Its best characterised activity is the generation of mature 5'-ends of tRNAs by cleaving the 5'-leader elements of precursor-tRNAs. Lineage: Bacteria; Bacillati; Chloroflexota. The record is from RNAcentral.
GGUGAAAAGGUGGUGCAAGAGACCACCAGCAUCCACAGCAAUGUGGAUGGCUAGGCAACCUCCACCGGGAGCAAGGCUAAGCAGGGACGAUAGGACAAUCCGUCCGAGGAGGCUGCUCGUCUCCAGACCUCGCCAGAGGUCGCAGUCCCGGGUGAGCCGCUUGAGCCACGCGGCAACGCGUGGCCCAGAUAGAUGACCAUCCAGGCGGUCAAUCCGCUGGACAGAAUGCGGCUUACAGGCUGACCUGGGGC